This 28-nucleotide small RNA is filed under the name Bombyx mori (domestic silkworm). RNAcentral's name for it is "ovarian small RNA-18664". The record is from RNAcentral. Lineage: Eukaryota; Metazoa; Arthropoda; Insecta; Lepidoptera; Bombycidae.
UAACAUGUAAUCAUAAAAAAUAUGUGUU